AAGACUAUACUUUCAGGGAUCAUUUCUAUAGUCUGUGACUAGAGAAGUUUCUCUGAUCGUGUAGAGCACCGUAAACCACGAGGAGGAGACGUAGUGUCCUCCCCUGAGCGUGAAGCCGGCAUCUGGUGUCGCCUCCCGCGACUGCCGCUUGCCAUUGAUGAUCGUUCUUCUCUCCUUCCUAGGAGAGAAAGAGGGGGAGGAUGCAGUCUGAGUGG
Molecule: small nucleolar RNA, 215 nt
Organism: Ochotona princeps (American pika)
Lineage: Eukaryota; Metazoa; Chordata; Mammalia; Lagomorpha; Ochotonidae
Gene: U3
Rfam family: Small nucleolar RNA U3
About the family: Small nucleolar RNAs (snoRNAs) are involved in the processing and modification of rRNA in the nucleolus. There are two main classes of snoRNAs: the box C/D class, and the box H/ACA class.
Source: Ensembl